RNAcentral lists this unclassified non-coding RNA (241 nucleotides) under plant metagenome. Its description in RNAcentral is "partial contains small subunit ribosomal RNA, internal transcribed spacer 1, and 5.8S ribosomal RNA". The record is from RNAcentral.
UUUCCGCAGGUGAACCUGCGGAAGGUUCAUUAAAGAGUAAGGGUCUUCGGGCCCGAUCUCCAACCCUUUGUUUAACUACCAUGUUGCUUUGGCGGGCCCGUCUCACGACCGCCGGAAGUUUGGCUUCGACCAAACUUCUGGCCCGUGCCCGUCAGUGGCCCCUUCAAAUUCUUGAUCAAGUAUGAUGUAUUAGUUAAAAACUGAAUAGUUAAAACUUUCAACAACGGAUCUCUUGGUUCUG